GAUCCCGUAGCUCAUUUUGGAUAGAGCGUCUGCCUCCUAAGCAGAAGGUGGCGAGUUCGAACCCCGCCGGGGUCA
This 75-nucleotide transfer RNA is filed under the name Treponema sp. RNAcentral describes it as "tRNA-Arg". It matches the Rfam family "tRNA". From Rfam's summary of the family: Transfer RNA (tRNA) molecules are approximately 80 nucleotides in length. Their secondary structure includes four short double-helical elements and three loops (D, anti-codon, and T loops). Further hydrogen bonds mediate the characteristic L-shaped molecular structure. tRNAs have two regions of fundamental functional importance: the anti-codon, which is responsible for specific mRNA codon recognition, and the 3' end, to which the tRNAs corresponding amino acid is attached (by aminoacyl-tRNA synthetases). tRNAs cope with the degeneracy of the genetic code in two manners: having more than one tRNA (with a specific anti-codon) for a particular amino acid; and 'wobble' base-pairing, i.e. permitting non-standard base-pairing at the 3rd anti-codon position. Lineage: Bacteria; Pseudomonadati; Spirochaetota; Spirochaetia; Treponematales; Treponemataceae. The record is from RNAcentral. RNAcentral also lists the same sequence under 1 other name.